Molecule: small nucleolar RNA, 135 nt
Organism: Choloepus hoffmanni (Hoffmann's two-fingered sloth)
Lineage: Eukaryota; Metazoa; Chordata; Mammalia; Pilosa; Megalonychidae
Source: Ensembl
GCAUGGUAAUGGAUUUAUGGCAGGUCCUUCUCUAUGGGCCUUUCAUAGUGUACCCAUGCCAGAAUAAACUAGCCUCGAACCAUUGCCCAGCCUCAAUACCCAUGGGCUGUGAGCACUGAAGGGGGUUGUACAAUG